GUUGCUUUGGGGAGACACAUACUAAAAUUGGAGUCAUGCAGUGAAAAUGAGCAUGGAUCCUGUGCAAGGAUAAUACUGACCAAUCCCUGAUAUUAUCUGUGGUAUU
This is a small nuclear RNA of Mauremys reevesii (Reeves's turtle), 106 nucleotides long. The record is from RefSeq and is a predicted model, not a curated record. Lineage: Eukaryota; Metazoa; Chordata; Testudines; Geoemydidae.